AGGACGAACGCUGGCGGCGUGCUUAACACAUGCAAGUCGAACGAGGCCCUACCUUCGGGUAGGUGACCUAGUGGCGAACGGGUGAGUAACACGUGGGCAACCUACCCUCAGCUCUGGGAUAACCCCGGGAAACCGGAGCUAAUACCGGAUAUGACCUUGAACGACAUCGUUCUUGGUGGAAAGUUUUUUCGGCUGAGGAUGGGCCCGCGGCCUAUCAGCUUGUUGGCGGGGUAAUGGCCCACAAGGCGACGACGGGUAG
This 259-nucleotide ribosomal RNA is filed under the name uncultured bacterium. RNAcentral describes it as "partial small subunit ribosomal RNA". It matches the Rfam family "Bacterial small subunit ribosomal RNA", at positions 26 to 286 of the family's 1533-position model. The record is from RNAcentral.